RNAcentral lists this transfer RNA (69 nucleotides) under Augomonoctenus smithi. Its description in RNAcentral is "tRNA-Met". Lineage: Eukaryota; Metazoa; Arthropoda; Insecta; Hymenoptera; Diprionidae. The record is from RNAcentral.
AAAAAGAUAAGCUAAAUUUAAGCUAAUGGAUUCAUAAUCCAUCAAUAAAAAUUAUUUUUUUUCUUUUUA